This 350-nucleotide ribosomal RNA is filed under the name uncultured bacterium. Its description in RNAcentral is "bacterial SSU rRNA". It matches the Rfam family "Bacterial small subunit ribosomal RNA", at positions 8 to 353 of the family's 1533-position model. The record is from RNAcentral.
AGAGUUUGAUCAUGGCUCAGGACGAACGCUGGCGGCGCGCCUAACACAUGCAAGUCGAACGAGAGAGAAGGAGCUUGCUUCUUCGAUCGAGUGGCGAACGGGUGAGUAACGCGUGAGGAACCUGCCUCAAAGAGGGGGACAACAGUUGGAAACGACUGCUAAUACCGCAUAAGCCCACGGGUCGGCAUCGAUCUGAGGGACAAGGAGCAAUCCGCUUUGAGAUGGCCUCGCGUCCGAUUAGCUAGUUGGUGAGGUAACGGCCCACCAAGGCGACGAUCGGUAGCCGGACUGAGAGGUUGAACGGCCACAUUGGGACUGAGACACGGUCCAAACUCCUACGGGAGGCAGCA